GACGGGAACCCGGGGCAGCCGAGCAGCAGUUUCUGUGGAGGUCAUCCGGCGCGAGAGGAGCCUUUCGGCGGGAUUGAGAUAUCGCGAGAGUGAGCGCGAGAUUUAAACAAACGAGCAGGGCCUUCGGAAAGAACAGCGUGAAAUGGUGAUGAUGGUGCAGUGUGGGAGAGAGGUGACAUCACAGCCAUGGGUUGGAGCCUGUGGACGUAGAUCCAUACGGUUCUUUCUCAGAGGUGUCCCUUGCUCUGUCUGAAUCUGAUAGGAAUGUGGAGUGACUUCCUUUUGCACGUAUCGUGACAUGGACCAUGUUCCAGAAUUGUGAACUGGGAUUCGAGUUUGAUCUCCAGGCUUAAGAACUGGUGAUUGACUUUAGCCUUCAAGAAAAGAUCAAGAUGACGAUUGUACAAAUAUCGUGGUUUAUCAGGUACUUGACAAAGGUCUUCCAAAAGAAGUGAGGUUUCAGCUGAGUGGUCAACGUAUGCGUGGAUAGGGUUAGAGUGGGGAGCUGGAGACUUUGGCAAGAAGAGGUGGAGGCUAAGCCAUACCAGAAGACAGGGAAGAUAAGGUGCAUCAGGCUCAUCUGAGAUGUACAAUUGUGUGUCAUCUACAUAACUGUGGAGAUCAAGUUUAUGCUCUCUAAUGAAGUCUCCAAAGGGGAGCACGUAUAAGGAGAAUAGCAGGGGACUAAGACAGCUUCCCUGAAGAAAAGUAAAAGCGAAUGCAGACAAAUCUCAAGGUUGCAUAUUUUGUACGUACUUUGAUAAUAAAUGUACUUUGAAUCUUGAAUCAGAACUGAGAGUCUGUUGGCAUCAGUGCUGAGCGUGAGGUUGCUGAUACCUCAGGCCUGAGGUAAAGCCCUUAAACACCUUACACUCCUUCAACACCUCAUUUGAUUCAUAUUGCCUACACCUGAUAAGUAAUUCCUUCCUCUAAACCUAGGCCUCAACAUCACUGGAAAACCAAGGUUCCC
Molecule: long non-coding RNA, 970 nt
Organism: Mobula hypostoma (lesser devil ray)
Lineage: Eukaryota; Metazoa; Chordata; Chondrichthyes; Myliobatiformes; Myliobatidae
Exons: 4
Source: RefSeq, a predicted model, not a curated record